UUUUGGACAAUGGGCGCAAGCCUGAUCCAGCCAUUCCGCGUGAGUGAAGAAGGCCUUCGGGUUGUAAAGCUCUUUCGCAAGGGACGAAAGAUUACUCUCUAAUAUAGAGUGAUUAUGACGGUACCUUGAUAAGAAGCACCGGCUAACUACGUGCCAGCAGCCGCGGUAAUACGUAGGGUGCGAGCGUUAAUCGGAAUUACUGGGCGUAAAGCGUGCGCAGGCGGUUUUGUAAGUCAGAUGUGAAAUCCCCGGGCUUAACCUGGGAAUGGCGCUUGUGACUGCAAAGCUGGAGUGCGGCAGAGGGGGAUGGAAUUCCGCGUGUAGCAGUGAAAUGCGUAGAUAUGCGGAGGAACACCGAUGGCGAAGGCAAUCCCCUGGCCUGCACUACGCUCAGCAGAAA
RNAcentral lists this ribosomal RNA (400 nucleotides) under uncultured bacterium. RNAcentral describes it as "bacterial SSU rRNA". It matches the Rfam family "Bacterial small subunit ribosomal RNA", at positions 362 to 758 of the family's 1533-position model. The record is from RNAcentral.